Molecule: ribosomal RNA, 497 nt
Filed under: uncultured bacterium
Lineage: Bacteria
Description: partial 16S ribosomal RNA
Rfam family: Bacterial small subunit ribosomal RNA
Source: RNAcentral
GACGAACGCUGGCGGCGUGCCUAAUACAUGCAAGUUGAGCGCUGAAGGUUGGUACUUGUACCAACUGGAUGAGCAGCGAACGGGUGAGUAACGCGUGGGGAAUCUGCCUUUGAGCGGGGGACAACAUUUGGAAACGAAUGCUAAUACCGCAUAAAAACUUUAAACACAAGUUUCAAGUUUGAAAGAUGCAAUUGCAUCACUCAAAGAUGAUCCCGCGUUGUAUUAGCUAGUUGGUGAGGUAAAGGCUCACCAAGGCGAUGAUACAUAGCCGACCUGAGAGGGUGAUCGGCCAAAUUGGGACGGGGACACGGCCCAAAACCCUACGGGAGGCAGCAGUAGGGAAACUUCGGCAAUGGACGAAAGUCUGACCGGGCCACACCGCGUGAGUGAAGAAGGUUUUCGGGUCGUAAAACUCUGUUGGUAGAGAAGAACGUUGGGGAGAGUGGAAAGCUCAUCAAGUGACGGUAACUACCCAGAAAGCGACGGCUAACUACGUG